GCCUCCAUGGAGUAGUGAUAGAGCACGCGUCUUCGAAUAGGAUGAAACGCGGGUUCGAUUCCCGCUUGAGGCC
This is a non-coding RNA of Parelaphostrongylus tenuis, 73 nucleotides long. The record is from the annotation of a GenBank genome assembly. Lineage: Eukaryota; Metazoa; Nematoda; Chromadorea; Rhabditida; Metastrongylidae.